AGGACGAACGCUGGCGGCGUGCUUAACACAUGCAAGCCAAGGGGGCCCAGCAAUGGGCAACCGGCGAACGGGUGCGUAACACGUGAGCAACCUACCGAAAUGUGGGGGAUAGCCGGCCUAACGGCCGAGUAAUACCGCAUACGCUCUCGAUGAGGCAUUUCAUUGAGAGGAAACCUACGGGACAUUUCGAGGGGCUCGCGGCCUAUCAGCUAGUUGGCGAGGUAACGGCUCACCAAGGCAACGACGGGUA
This 250-nucleotide ribosomal RNA is filed under the name uncultured soil bacterium. Its description in RNAcentral is "partial 16S ribosomal RNA". It matches the Rfam family "Bacterial small subunit ribosomal RNA", at positions 26 to 285 of the family's 1533-position model. The record is from RNAcentral.